UUCCCUCUUGGCGCGGAGGUUUAACUGCGCUCGUUCCCCGUAUCGGUGUGGGCGCACCGGAUUUAUAAAUCAAAGUCCUUUAGGGAACGGAAAGGAAC
This 98-nucleotide non-coding RNA is filed under the name unclassified sequences. RNAcentral's name for it is "GP20-a RNA". It matches the Rfam family "GP20-a RNA". Rfam says of the family: gut metagenomes. The record is from RNAcentral.